GACGAACGCUGGCGGCGUGCCUAACACAUGCAAGUCGAACGGAAAGGCCCUGCUUUUGUGGGUUUCUUGUUUGCCGAACGCGUGAGUAACACGUGAGUAACCUGCCCCUGUCUUUGUGAUAACAUCACGAAACUGGGGCUCAUACCCGAUAGGAGCUCCUGCUGCAUGUUGGUCGUAGGUAAGUUUCGGCGGUUGGGGAUGUACUCGCGGCUUAUCAGCUUGUUGGUGGGGUAGUGGCUUACCAAGGCUUUGACGGGUAGCCGGCCUGAGAGGGUGACCGGCCACAUUGGGACUGAGAUACGGCCCAGACUCCUACGGGAGGCAGCAGUGGGGAAUAUUGCACAAUGGGCGGAAGCCUGAUGCAGCAACGCCGCGUGCGGGAUGACGGCCUUCGGGUUGUAAACCGCUUUCGCCUGUGACGAAGCGUGAGUGACGGUAAUGGGUAAAGAAGCACCGGCUAACUACGUG
RNAcentral lists this ribosomal RNA (468 nucleotides) under uncultured bacterium. RNAcentral's name for it is "partial 16S ribosomal RNA". It matches the Rfam family "Bacterial small subunit ribosomal RNA", at positions 28 to 507 of the family's 1533-position model. The record is from RNAcentral.